Molecule: long non-coding RNA, 218 nt
Organism: Polypterus senegalus (gray bichir)
Lineage: Eukaryota; Metazoa; Chordata; Cladistia; Polypteriformes; Polypteridae
Exons: 3
Source: RefSeq, a predicted model, not a curated record
GCACGAUCGUCGGGUUGAGGCAGGCGGCUGUCCUCCUUCUCUUUUGCAGCUUCCACUUUUCGGGCACCAGGAAGCAAUCUCAGAUACAGAGAUGAUUCAAUAUGCAGCAGCAACAUGUCUGGUGUUCAAUCAGCCUGGGUGGGAAAGCCAGGCCAGUCAACUACCAAGCUUUACCUUAACAUAUGGUUUGAAGGGCAAGUGUGAAGGUGUUCUAUUCC